Molecule: long non-coding RNA, 943 nt
Organism: Aegilops tauschii subsp. strangulata
Lineage: Eukaryota; Viridiplantae; Streptophyta; Magnoliopsida; Poales; Poaceae
Source: RefSeq, a predicted model, not a curated record
AGCCCACCCAACCCCUACCUCGCUCUCUCCCCACGAACCUCUCUGUCUCUCGCGACUCCUCUCUCCCCCACGAACCCCUGUCCCUCGCCGCCGCCACCACCCACGCCGGCCGGUUCCGGCGAGCUCCGGCGGCGCGCAACACGCCCCCGAGCUCCCCUAGGUCCGCUCCACCUUCCCCUCCGUCCAGAAUCGGCGCUCCCGUCCUCCACCGACCCCGUGGCUAGCUAGGGUUUCGACCGCCACCCCUAACAUCGCCGGGAUCAGCCAGAUCCGGCGACGGCGAGGCCAGAGCUCGACGGAUCCGUUACGGGCGUGGCGCAGGUCACCUUGGUGCGGUCUGGACGGCGGCGACGGCAGGAGGGCGCCAUCCUUCCUACUCGAGGAGGCGGAGGACGAGGGGCGCACCUAGCUGGCGGCCCUGUCCUGCUCGAGGAGGCAGGGGCUGCCGAGCUCAAGCACGGCCACGACGACCCACCUCGGCAGAGAUGCAGGGAGGGAGGGACAUCCAUGGAUUGGACUGGAAGGAUUGGAUGCAAACCAAUGCACAUGAGGAGGAGAGAUGCAAGCCAGGCCAUGACCUAAAGAUGUCCUUGGAUAAGAUGGCCAUUGGAGUGUAGGGGAGAAACAACCUUGUCCUGCUCGAGGAGGAGGAGGACCACCCGAGCUCGACGACGACACGGCAACAGGUAGCACUCGCCUCUCUCCCAAGGAUCUUCGGUUUGUUGUACUGACUGUAUGCCACCUCCAUCGUUGCAGCCUUGUCUCCCCCACCACCGCCCCUCGGCCUCCUAUAAUGUUGUUGUGGAUUCUUAGAAUGGAAAUGUUAUGUACAUAAAAAAUAUACUAUAUGGUCUGUGUUUGCAAAUCCAUGGCUGUUGAAUCAUGUCUGUAUAAGCAUUUGUAAAUAGCUAGCCUUGUUGGCUAAUCUUUUUUUUUUUGGUUU